RNAcentral lists this ribosomal RNA (614 nucleotides) under uncultured bacterium. RNAcentral describes it as "bacterial SSU rRNA". It matches the Rfam family "Bacterial small subunit ribosomal RNA", at positions 338 to 948 of the family's 1533-position model. The record is from RNAcentral.
CCUACGGGAGGCAGCAGUAGGGAAUCUUCCGCAAUGGACGAAAGUCUGACGGAGCAACGCCGCGUGAACGAUGAAGGCCUUCGGGUCGUAAAGUUCUGUUGUUAGGGAAGAACAAGUGCUAGUUAAAUAAGCUGGCACCUUGACGGUACCUAACCAGAAAGCCACGGCUAACUACGUGCCAGCAGCCGCGGUAAUACGUAGGUGGCAAGCGUUGUCCGGAAUUAUUGGGCGUAAAGCGCGCGCAGGCGGUUUCUUAAGUCUGAUGUGAAAGCCCCCGGCUCAACCGGGGAGGGUCAUUGGAAACUGGGAAACUUGAGUGCAGAAGAGGAAAGUGGAAUUCCAAGUGUAGCGGUGAAAUGCGUAGAGAUUUGGAGGAACACCAGUGGCGAAGGCGACUUUCUGGUCUGUAACUGACGCUGAGGCGCGAAAGCGUGGGGAGCAAACAGGAUUAGAUACCCUGGUAGUCCACGCUGUAAACGAUGAGUGCUAAGUGUUAGAGGGUUUCCGCCCUUUAGUGCUGAAGUUAACGCAUUAAGCACUCCGCCUGGGGAGUCGGUCGCAAGCUGAAACUUAAUGAAUUGACGGCUUGAGAGNGCGAGNGACGACGAGGAGAG